RNAcentral lists this ribosomal RNA (253 nucleotides) under uncultured bacterium. Its description in RNAcentral is "partial 16S ribosomal RNA". It matches the Rfam family "Bacterial small subunit ribosomal RNA", at positions 524 to 776 of the family's 1533-position model. The record is from RNAcentral.
UACGGGGGGGGCAAGCGUUGUUCGGAAUUACUGGGCGUAAAGGGCCAGUAGGCGGCCAACUAAGUCCGACGUGAAAUCCCCAGGCUUAACCUGGGAACUGCGUCGGAUACUGGAUGGCUUGAAUUCGGGAGAGGGAUGCAGAAUUCCAGGUGUAGCGGUGAAAUGCGUAGAUAUCAGGAAGAACACCCGUGGCGAAGGCGGCUCUCUGGUACGUGACUGACGCUGAGACGCGAAAGCGUGGGGAGCGAACAGG